AAUUUUCAUAAUAUAGAAAUUUCAUGUUUGAAUUGAAUGAACCUAAAGAAGUCAAUCAUUCAAUAAAAAAAAUAUGAAAUAAAAAAACAUUGCCAUGCCACGUACCUCGUCAGAUGUAUUUGUACCGCUGUCAAAAACAUAUGACUGAUCGAUUGAUAUAGAUUCUUAUUUCAAUUUUUCGAAAUUGUAAUUUUUCCCCCAAAAAUGUGUUUUUGAACUCGAAUGUCAACCACACGUGGACGAUUAAAGUUGACUGAUUAUCUAUUCGAACAAUAUAAAGGAUGAAACAAGAACACAAACUUCAAGUCUAUUCUGAUUCUUUUUGAUCAUGGUCAUGGUUUAUCUCGUCAGCUAUUAAUCAAAAGGACCAGGAAUUUCCACGCGAGUGGUUCCUUCAUUGAAGAGAGGACACAGGAUAGAUAGAUUCUAUAAAAGAUCAUUCUGCCAGAUGGCCCGUGCCCGCAACGAACAGAGAAUUUCUUUUUUUCAUUUUUCUCUUUCUCAACUUUUCUUUUAGCUUGUCCAUGGUAUAACCACGAUGCAACAUUUUUCAUGGUUUUCUAUCUCAAGAGCAUAUAUUUCUAAUAUUUUUAUUUGC
Long non-coding RNA from Apis dorsata (giant honeybee), 598 nucleotides. RefSeq lists it as uncharacterized. The record is from RefSeq and is a predicted model, not a curated record. The transcript is spliced from 4 exons. NCBI's taxonomy places the organism in Eukaryota, Metazoa, Arthropoda, Insecta, Hymenoptera, Apidae.